CUCCAAUAUUACCUAAAAUAGAACCAUUCUAUACAAUGUGGGGUGCGGGAUAUAAAGAGUACACAACAACAUGUUUGAAAUGUAACCGGAUUAUUUCAGAUGCAUCUUAAGGUGCCGAGACCAUCCAGGUAUGCAGUAUUUGUGUGUUAAAAAUAAAGACAAUAGUGCGGACAGGUUUAACCAUACACUAGGGUAACACAGUGUAAUUAACACCAAAUAAAUAUGGUAUGUACAAUAAAACACAAUCUGUGUAAAGUGUGCUUAAUCCCUUAAGACUGAGGCAGUUGUACAAGUUGUGAACAAAACGUUAACAAAACUUUGAAUUUGCGCUAUAUGUCUGUUCAGGCGUAAUUCGCCUCUUUCAUAUUAAUUGCCAUAUUAUUCACCCACACUUAUCAUAUAUCAUUUUGUUUAGGAGAAAUAGAGCUUUCAUGUC
Molecule: non-coding RNA, 436 nt
Organism: Pelobates cultripes (western spadefoot toad)
Lineage: Eukaryota; Metazoa; Chordata; Amphibia; Anura; Pelobatidae
Source: the annotation of a GenBank genome assembly